RNAcentral lists this non-coding RNA (22 nucleotides) under Arabidopsis thaliana (thale cress). Lineage: Eukaryota; Viridiplantae; Streptophyta; Magnoliopsida; Brassicales; Brassicaceae. The record is from RNAcentral.
GCCAAAUAGGUGCCUCGAGGGA